CUAUAAGAACAGCCGAACUCUACCCAGGAGGCGGAGGACCCAAGCAGUUGGGGCGCAGUCCCGCAUUGCGGGACGGGGUACUUUCAAGCCCUAGCCCGUCAGCUAACUCCGCAGGCGAAUUUGAGAGCCACC
RNAcentral lists this small RNA (132 nucleotides) under Acidobacteriota bacterium. Its description in RNAcentral is "Acidobacteria bacterium c-di-AMP sequence". It matches the Rfam family "c-di-AMP riboswitch aptamer (ydaO/yuaA leader)". Rfam says of the family: This family represents a conserved RNA structure found upstream of the ydaO and yuaA genes in Bacillus subtilis and related genes in other bacteria. The ydaO/yuaA element is thought to act as a genetic "off" switch for the ydaO and yuaA genes in its native state. The record is from RNAcentral. Lineage: Bacteria; Pseudomonadati; Acidobacteriota.